CGUCUGAACAGAUGCCAGUGUACCCAAAUUCUGAGACAUAACUGGAUGUCCUUUUCUUCUGUUUUUAAGAUUUCCAAUUCGAGAUGAUGUGCAGUUCAUGUUAGAUUUGCUAUUUCUACAGUUACAGUGAUGUAGAAGAGUCCGGUCGUGUUAUGGGGCAUCAGUUAAAGAAGAAGGACAGAGAGAUGUGUGCCCUGUUGAAGUAGUGGAUGGCCGCCUGCCCAGCACUUCUACAAUCCUCCAUCUCAAUCUCUGCUCUGAUGUUUUGUGCCUUUGCCAAGUGAUCACGAGUUUAUUGCAAUGGUGCCCCCCAGCGUCUCCACCGUCUGUUACAUCAACUCCAACUGCCUGUGAUAGAAGAAAAGUUCAUAAGACGUCCUAAAAUGGAAUUGUGAUUGGAGUGAGACAGCCACAAUUAUGUCUG
This is a long non-coding RNA of Erpetoichthys calabaricus (reedfish), 424 nucleotides long. RefSeq lists it as uncharacterized. NCBI's taxonomy places the organism in Eukaryota, Metazoa, Chordata, Cladistia, Polypteriformes, Polypteridae. The record is from RefSeq and is a predicted model, not a curated record. The transcript is spliced from 3 exons.